GAUGAAGAACGUAGUGAAAUGCGAUACGUAAUGCGAAUUGCAGAAUUUCCGUGAGUCAUCGAAUCUUUGAACGCACAUUGCGCCCACUGGUAUUCCGGUGGGCAUGCCUGUUCGAGCGUCAUUAUCCUCCCUCAAACCUCGGGUUUGGUGUUGGACCCAAGUUGUGUGAACAACUGGUCUCAAAGACAAUGACGGCGUCCGUGGGACCCUCGGUGCAACGAGCUUUUAAACGAGCACGCGUCGAGUUUCAAGGACCUUCCGGGCCGGUCUCCUUCUUUUUAUUUACAAAGGUUGACCUCGGAUCAGGUAGGAAUACCCGCUGAACUUAAGCAUAUCAAUAAGCGGAGGA
Molecule: unclassified non-coding RNA, 349 nt
Filed under: soil metagenome
Description: partial contains 5.8S ribosomal RNA, internal transcribed spacer 2, and large subunit ribosomal RNA
Rfam family: 5.8S ribosomal RNA (bases 1-121)
Source: RNAcentral